AAACCAGCACCUCAAGUGGUCAGGAUGAUUAUUGGGCCUAAAGCAUCCGUAGCCGGUGUUGUAAGUUUCCGGUUAAAUCCAUUAGCUCAACUAAUGGGCCGCCGAAAAUACUGCAAAACUAGGGAGUGGGAGAGGUAGACGGUACUCGGUAGGAAGGGGUAAAAUCCUUUGAUCUAUUGAUGACCACCUGUGGCGAAGGCGGUCUACCAGAACACGUUCGACGGUGAGGGAUGAAAGCUGGGGGAGCAAACCGGAUUAGAAACCCGGGUAGUCC
Molecule: ribosomal RNA, 274 nt
Filed under: uncultured bacterium
Lineage: Bacteria
Description: partial 16S ribosomal RNA
Rfam family: Archaeal small subunit ribosomal RNA
Source: RNAcentral